RNAcentral lists this ribosomal RNA (434 nucleotides) under uncultured bacterium. RNAcentral's name for it is "bacterial SSU rRNA". It matches the Rfam family "Bacterial small subunit ribosomal RNA", at positions 30 to 454 of the family's 1533-position model. The record is from RNAcentral.
AUUGAACGCUGGCGGCAGGCCUAACACAUGCAAGUCGAGCGGAAACGAGUUAUCUGAACCUUCGGGGAACGAUAACGGCGUCGAGCGGCGGACGGGUGAGUAAUGCCUAGGAAAUUGCCCUGAUGUGGGGGAUAACCAUUGGAAACGAUGGCUAAUACCGCAUAAUGCCUACGGGCCAAAGAGGGGGACCUUCGGGCCUCUCGCGUCAGGAUAUGCCUAGGUGGGAUUAGCUAGUUGGUGAGGUAAGGGCUCACCAAGGCGACGAUCCCUAGCUGGUCUGAGAGGAUGAUCAGCCACACUGGAACUGAGACACGGUCCAGACUCCUACGGGAGGCAGCAGUGGGGAAUAUUGCACAAUGGGCGCAAGCCUGAUGCAGCCAUGCCGCGUGUAUGAAGAAGGCCUUGGUAAGUACUUUCAGAGGAGGAGUAUCGUU